This 251-nucleotide ribosomal RNA is filed under the name uncultured bacterium. RNAcentral's name for it is "partial 16S ribosomal RNA". It matches the Rfam family "Bacterial small subunit ribosomal RNA", at positions 523 to 769 of the family's 1533-position model. The record is from RNAcentral.
AUACGUAGGGUGCGAGCGUUAAUCGGAAUUACUGGGCGUAAAGCGUGCGCAGGCGGAUUGUUAAGCAAGACGUGAAACGUCCCCGGGCUUAACCGUGGGAAUGGUCGUUUUGAACUGGCAGUCUAGAGUGUGUCAGAGGGGGGUGGAAUUCCACGUGUAGCAGUGAAAUGCGUAGAGAUGUGGAGGAACACCAAUGGCGAAGGCAGCCCCCUGGGAUAACACUGACGCUCAUGUACGAAAGCGUGGGUAGC